GGCUGAAACUCAAAGGAAUUGACGGGGGCCCGCACAAGCGGUGGAGCAUGUGGUUUAAUUCGAAGCAACGCGAAGAACCUUACCAGGUCUUGACAUCCUCUGACACUCCUAGAGAUAGGACUUUCCCCUUCGGGGGACAGAGUGACAGGUGGUGCAUGGUUGUCGUCAGCUCGUGUCGUGAGAUGUUGGGUUAAGUCCCGCAACGAGCGCAACCCUUGAUCUUAGUUGCCAGCAUUCAGUUGGGCACUCUAAGGUGACUGCCGGUGACAAACCGGAGGAAGGUGGGGAUGACGUCAAAUCAUCAUCACCCCUUAUGACCUGGGCUACACACGUGCUACAAUGGAUGGUACGAAGGGCAGCGAAACCGCGAGGUUAAGCCAAUCCCAUAAAACCAUUCUCAGUUCGGAUUGCAGGCUGCAACUCGCCUGCAUGAAGCCGGAAUUGCUAGUAAUCGCGGAUCAGCAUGCCGCGGUGAAUUCGUUCCCGGGCCUUGUACACACCGCCCGUCACACCAUGGGAGUUGGCAACACCCGAAGUCGGUGAGGUAACCUUUUAGGAGCCAGCCGCCUAAGGUGGGGUCGAUGACUGGGGUGAAGUCGUAACAAGGUAGCCGUAU
This 616-nucleotide ribosomal RNA is filed under the name uncultured Caryophanales bacterium. RNAcentral's name for it is "bacterial SSU rRNA". It matches the Rfam family "Bacterial small subunit ribosomal RNA", at positions 892 to 1505 of the family's 1533-position model. Lineage: Bacteria; Bacillati; Bacillota; Bacilli; Caryophanales. The record is from RNAcentral.